Mesocricetus auratus (golden hamster) is the source of this 775-nucleotide long non-coding RNA. RefSeq lists it as uncharacterized. The transcript is spliced from 2 exons. NCBI's taxonomy places the organism in Eukaryota, Metazoa, Chordata, Mammalia, Rodentia, Cricetidae. The record is from RefSeq and is a predicted model, not a curated record.
CGCCAGCCUCUUGUCCCCUUGGGAGGGGAGCUGAGCCCUAUCCCAGCUGGACUCAGGACCAUGUAAAAUGGAGGCCUCCAGGGAGUCUGCUGACGCUGUUUCAUCUGCCUGGGAGAUGGAGAGCCUUCCCGCCACUACCGUAAUCAGAAGACUGGCUCAAACCCCAGCAGGGCAUCCAUGCCCACCAGGACACCUGAAGCAAUAGAACCCUGGUUCAUGUGCCCGUCCAGGCCAGACUGAGGCUUGGAGACUCUGCAGGAGAGCUGGAGGACCAACAGGCAGAAGCAGGAAGCAUCAUUUCUAGACCUCGCCCUCCGGGGUACUCACCUGUCUCAUUGCACUAGUGACAGCUGGCUGGGCCACCUCUCCCCUCUGGGAUGGAUCGCCGCAGGGAGAGCCAUGUGGGGUGCUGGAGUCAGGAGGGCGUGAGGAUGACUUGGAGUCUGGGUGACCUUAUCUCUCAGGACUCCAGUACUCUGUCUGCCUCUCCAUCUCCAUGGGGACCCUGGGUGGAUGUGUCUCUGACAGCCAAUUUUUCUCAUUCAGGAGUCUCUGCUGUGAUCUUACCUAGUUUGGCCCAAACUCCUUUCCAUCCUUAAAAAAAAUCCUGUUUAGAUCCACCCACAGGAAGCCCCCUAAGACAUCCUGAGAGUACACCAUUGCCUUCUGAGUGACAGCUCCCUUUACACUCCCCUCUGUGUCACUAGCGCCCAACCCCACGCUACCCAGAGCCACCUGUCUCCUGAACUAUGCCUAACAUCAGGAUCUGAACUGA